CAUCCCUUGCCGCAAACCGCCGUUCAACCACGCCGUCGGCCGCAAGCCUUUCAUCGUCACGGGUUUCUAGGGCGGAAAAGGGCUUUAAGGGGGCGACGGCGGCAGUGGAUGGAGGUUUGCGAGCAGUGACGAGGCUGUUGUUGUUGUUGGGGUCGAGGAGGACGAGACGUUUGCAGAGGGAUGCGGGACAGAAGCCGGUGAAGGCUUCGUCGGGGUGGCGGGGCAGGAG
Molecule: small RNA, 229 nt
Filed under: Vigna angularis var. angularis
Lineage: Eukaryota; Viridiplantae; Streptophyta; Magnoliopsida; Fabales; Fabaceae
Description: Non-protein coding transcript
Source: RNAcentral